AGUGAACGCUGGCGGUAGGCCUAACACAUGCAAGUCGAACGGCAGCACAGUAAGAGCCUGCUCUUACGGGUGGCGAGUGGCGGACGGGUGAGGAAUACAUCGGAAUCUACUUUUUCGUGGGGGAUAACGUAGGGAAACUUACGCUAAUACCGCAUGCGACCUACGGGUGAAAGCAGGGGAUCUUCGGACCUUGCGCGAUUGAAUGAGCCGAUGUCGGAUUAGCUAGUUGGCGGGGUAAAGGCCCACCAAGGCGACGAUCCGUAGCUGGUCUGAGAGGAUGAUCAGCCACACUGGAACUGAGACACGGUCCAGACUCCUACGGGAGGCAGCAGUGGGGAAUAUUGGACAAUGGGCGCAAGCCUGAUCCAGCCAUACCGCGUGGGUGAAGAAGGCCUUCGGGUUGUAAAGCCCUUUUGUUGGGAAAGAAAAGCAGCAGGUUAAUACCCCGCUGUUCUGACGGUACCCAAAGAAUAAGCACCGGCUAACUUCGUG
RNAcentral lists this ribosomal RNA (492 nucleotides) under uncultured bacterium. RNAcentral's name for it is "partial 16S ribosomal RNA". It matches the Rfam family "Bacterial small subunit ribosomal RNA", at positions 29 to 507 of the family's 1533-position model. The record is from RNAcentral.